AACUCGGACAUAACAGUAAUCGUAUUAUCUAUGUUAUUACUGAAGAAACCUCUAUUACUAUGCUGAAUGUACAUGCAAUGCCCGAUAUACUCCGGCCACAAAUGGUAAUUACACACUAACCCAAUCUUCAGUUCAACUGCCCAGUGUUUUAACAUGUUUACUUUUUGAUCUCUUUCAAAUACCCGCUCCUCUCUUCGACACUCCUAUCACUUUCUCAUUCCAUCCCCAACUCUUACCACGUUUCAUGCGCAUAUGAUUGCAGGGACCUUCUAGUGCACAAAAAUUCAUUGUAUACAUACAAAACUGCAAUUACAAUCUAUGAACAUAACCAACAUCCACAACUUACUUCAAAUAACUCGCCAUUUUCACUUGAUAAAUUUUUUCUGUCUUCCAAAGACAAGUUACAGUCACAUUGGGGGAAUUCUAUCAACUUUCAAAUAGUUUAGAUUAAAAGCACCCCUAACCUCUGUAAGCUCCCCACUUCGAGAUGGUUCCGCACACUCAUACCAUGAAACUACCUCUUCCUAAUCUGGCACCCUACUGAAGUUUUAGCAAAUAAUUCAUAGAAAGCAAGCAUCCCACCAUCAUAUCGCACCACAAUGCUUUCCAAACAAAACCAAUUUCUUUUCUUUCUUGCUUUUCGGAAUCCCUCAGUGUGAAAAGUAAAUGUACAUCGCGUAAAUAAAUUUGAACUUUUUAAAAGUAUCCAAGUCAAAGCUAAACAUGCAUUCCUCUAAACCAUUGAUGCUAAUCGGCCAAAUGUUCCGAAGUAUUGAGAGCGCUAAACCAGUCACAAGUUAGUUACAACAGUAAAUAGUUAAUUGUGGUAUUUGUGUAAUUAGGUGUAGAAGAUAAGGGUACUAAUGUAAUGAGCCUCUAUGGCUAUAUAUAUUCUUGUGUACCGUCAAUUAAGUUUAAUCAAUGAAAAUAUCCCUUUUAACAUUUUCUACAUGGUUUCAUCGCCAAAUACCUCCCGGCAUUCCUCGAUCCUCCAUUUCUUCCGCUCAGUUUCUCUUAUUUCUGUUCAAUUUGAUCGAAGUUCUUCAUUGAUUUGGUAUUCUGAUCACUGUUGAUCGGUAAUGGCGUCUUUGAGUCAGUGAUAUCUAGAUUUUCUUCUUCUCACCGCUUUCAUUUCUCGAUCGAUUUCUCGCUCGAUUUCUUGAUCGAUUUUGUGCUCUUUGUCUUUGAUCGAUUGCUUGAUCGAUCUCUCCCUCGAUUUCUUGAUCGAUUUCUCUUUUCUCGAAUCUCGAAUCUUGCUUUUGUAUAUCAUGGCUUCCCCCUCUCACUCUUCGUCUCCGAUUAACUCACCGCCAUUACCAAACCCUAAUCUUUCUGCAAAUUCUCAACCUCAGAACUCGUAUGUCUCUUACGAUUCAAAAUAUUGGUAGCAUGGUGCCAAUCAAACUCAAAUGCACCAAUUAUCUCCCAUGGCGUGCGUUAUUUGCUCCGAUUUUGCGCCGGCACAAACUUCUUGGUCUCAUCGACGAUACUGACCCAUGUCCGACUCCACUUCUUCCUGAUCGAUCCUUGAAUCCAGCAUUUGGGCAGUGGUUUGAAAAAGAUCAAAAUCUCUUGAUCUGGCUCAACUCGACCUUAUCCAAAGAUCUCAUUCCCUUCACAGUAGGUGUUUCCACAUCUCGAGAGCUUUGGCAGAAGCUUGAACAACGUUUUGGUGGAGUUUCUGAAGCUCAUGUCCACCAACUUCGCUCUCGUCUUCGAUCAAUUCAAAAAGGCUCUCAAUCGAUCUCGGAAUAUCUACAACAAAUCAAGGAAAUUUUAGAUUCUCUCAAUGCUGCUGGCGCAACUAUAUCUGAUCGUGAUCUAAUUGCUGCACCACUUCACGGUAUUCCUGAUGAAUUUGAGUCCUUUAUUGACUCCAUCAUGCUGCGUUUGUCUUCUACAUCUCUUGAUGAAUUGCAUGGUUAGUUGCUGACAAAAGAGAUUUCCAUGGCUCGUCACAAGCAGACUCUGUCCACCGCUGCUACUGAGCCCUUUCAGGCAUUCUCUGUCCAAUCUCAGGCACCUUUACUGCCAACGCCUUCUCCACAUGCCUUUGCUACAUAUAGUCAACCUCUUCAAUCUUCUUUCCGUUACAAUUCUAAUCAAGGCAGAAACAAUCGCAAUGGUUCCAGAGGCAAUCGCAAUAUCCGUACUAAUCGUGGACACUACAUUGGUACUUAUCGUGAAGGUCGAUCUCGUGCCUCUUAUCUAGGCUCCCGGUCUACCAACCAAGGCUCUUCAUCUACUCACAAGAACACAUGUCAAAUUUGUGGCUCCACCAGCCACGAAGCCAUUGACUGUUUUGACAGGAUGAAUCCUGAGAUUUUUGGACGGGUGCCACCAGCCAAACUUGCAGCUCUUUGUGCUCACUACUCGUCCAAACCAUCCCUAUCUUGGCUGUUAGACUCUGGCGCCACAUCACAUAUCACAAAUGACAUUGCCAAUCUCUCAGUCGCCUCUCCCUACACUGGUGAAGACAAAGUCUAUAUAGGAGAUGGUAAAUGUCUGUCUAUUCACAAUAUUGGUACCUCUUCUUUAAAUACAUCUCAUACUUCUUUUAAGUUGAGUAAUGUAUUACAUGUACCUGCUAUGAAACACAACUUAUUAUCUGCCUACCAAUUUUUAAAAGAUAAUAAUUGUGCCUUGACUCUUGACCCUAAUGGAUUCACCAUAAAGGAUCGUGUUUCGGGGAAGACGCUUUUGUAGGGACAAGUUAAAGAUGGUUUCUAUCAUUUUUAAGGCUCUAGUCAUCCCACUUCUUCAUCACCCUCGACUUUCACAAGUGUCAAUGCUCCUGUACAGAUUUGGCAUCGAAGAUUGGGUCAUCCAUCUCCUUCUAUCUUUCGCAAGGUUCUUUCAGGCAAUAAGCUUGUGGUGAAAGGCAGGACUACUGGUGAUCUUUUCUAGUCAGAUUGUGCUUUAGCUAAAAGUCACAAGCUUCUUUUUGGCUCUGCUAGUUUUACAACUACUCAAAGCCUCCAAUUGUUACACUGUGAUCUUUGGGGUCCUGCCUCCAUCACUUCACCUAGUGGUUUUAAGUACUACUUGUUGCUAGUAGAUGAUUACAGUAGAUAUAGUUGGUUAUUUCUAUUAAAGGCUAAAUCUGAUGCUUAUUCUACUUUCGUUGUAUUCAAACAAUAUGUGGAAAAUCUACUUGGAAAUAAAAUCAAGGUUGUGCAUUCAGAUUCCGGGGGUUAAUUCAUUGGUGCUAUGUUUCGGUCUUUCUUCAUACUCAUGGCAUUGUUCAUCAAUUAACAUGUCCUCACACCCCUGAACAAAAUGGUUGUGCUGAACAAAAGAACUGACACAUUGUGGAAAUUGCCAAAACAUUACUUGUUGCUUCUAAUAUUCCACAUCUUUAUUGGGUGGAAGCUUUCUCCACGGCUGUGUACCUUAUUAACAGAUUACCAAUCUCUGGACUCUCUAAAUCUCCUUGGGAAUCGCUAUUUUUCAAGCCACCAGAUUACUCCCGACUUAAAGUCUUUGGCUGUAGAUGUUUCCCGUGGCUCAAACCUUAUACUCAUUCCAAGUUGGACGCUAAAAGCAAAAGCUGUGUUUUUCUGGGAUACAAUUUACAACAUAAGGGUUAUUGAUGCCUUGACCUAGUCACUAGUCGUAUCUACAUUUCUCGACAUGUACAGUUUGAUGAAUCAACAUAUCCUUUUCAGUCUCCUCCCCACCAGUCCAGUUAUCUCUUCAGAAUCUGUUUCAGCUCCCAUGGAUCUGCAGUUCUCCGUUCCUAAUAGAAUUGGUGUUCCUUCUGGAUCUUCAGUUCUAGAUUUGAGAUCCAACUCUGAUUAUUCUUCUUCAGGUUCACACAUUGGUCAUUCUCAAGGUCCCAUUCCUACAAAUACUGCAUCACAUACAGAAUCUCCGCAUGCCGCAUCACUCACUUCCAAUGCACCAAUUAUUUCCCUACCCCCUACCAAUACUCACCCUAUGAUCACUCGCUCUAAAGCUGGUAUCUUCAAGCCCAAAGUAUAUGCAGCUACCAAACAUCCUCUUCCAUCUGAUAUUGGCUUUGUCCCAAAUACAUAUUUGCAAGCAUCUAAACAUGCUCGCUAGAGAUCUGCCAUGCAAGAUGAGUUCAAGGCCUUACAAUCAACAGGAACUUGGACACUUGUUCCUCCAUCUUCCUCCUACAAUGUUGUUGGCUGCAAGUGGGUUUUCCGAAUAAAGAAGAAACCUAAUGGUACUGUCGAGAGAUUUAAAGCUCGUCUGGUUACAAAGGGGUAUCAUCAGCAAGAAGGAAUUGAUUUUCAAGAAACCUUCAAUCCUGUGGCUAAACUAGUCACAAUUAGAGUCAUUUUGUCACUUGUUGUGCAGUUCAAUUGGUUUUUAAAUCAAUUAGACAUAAGUAAUGCCUUUCUUCAUGGUGAUUUAAAGGAAGAUGUAUACAUGUAGCAGCCUCCAGGUUUCACUGAUCUCAGCAUGCCACAUCAUGUCUGCAAAUUACGGAAAUCCCUUUAUGGUCUCAAACAAGCACCUCGAGCUUGGUUUGACAAACUGUUUCAAGCUCUUCUUCAGCUUGGUUUUAAGCAAUCUUCCUCAGAUGUUUCCUUAUUUGUUCUUCACAGUACAACUCCUGUCAUGGUACUUGUUUAUGUCGAUGACAUAUCAGUCACUGGACCUGACUCUUCCCUAUGCAAUCUAUUCAUUCAAAAACUCAAUGCUAUUUUUCUAGUCAAGGAUUUGGGUCCAUUGCACUACUUCCUGGGAUUAGAGGUUCAACGAUCAUCCACAGGUCUCUUCCUUCAUCAAACCAAGUAUUUACUGGAUCUUCUCAGAAAAACCAAUAUGGAUGGUGCAAAGCCUUGCUGCACUCCACUUGGCUCUAAUAAAUUGGAUCACACUAGUCCUCUUUUGUCCAAUCCAAUUGAGUACGGAUCUAUUGUAGGUGGUUUACAGUAUUUGACAUGGACGCGUCCCGAUAUUUCUUUUGCUGUGAAUCAAAUCUGUCAGUUCAUGCAUGCUUCUUGAGACCAACACAUGCAAGCCGCAAAACGAGUUCUUCGUUAUCUCAAGGGUACUGUGUUUGAAGGACUAUGGUUCAAAAAGGGCGCAACUAAUCUCACAGCCUUCUUAGAUGCAGACUGAGCUGGCUGUCGUUUUGAUAGACGUUCCACUAGUGGUUACAAUGUCGUUCUGGGAUCUAACCUUAUCAAUUGGAGUGCCAAGAAACAAGCUACUGUGGCAUGAUCAUCAACGGAAGCAGAAUACCGUUCUCUUGCACACACUGCCGCUAAACUGACUUGGAUAUGCAAAAUCUUCCGUGACAUUGGUUUCCCUUUCUCUCAGGUUCCUACCCUCUGGUGUGACAAUAUUUCAGCAAUCUCCCUUGCUUCUAAUUCGGUAUUCCAUGCCAGAACCAAACAUGUGGAGAUUGACUAUCAUUAUAUUCGAGAGUUGGUCUUGGCUAAUCUCAUCAAGGUUAACUUUGUUUGUAGUAAGGAUCAAUUAGCCAACAUUCACACAAAAUCUCUUUCCAAAAGUCGAUUUCAGUAUCUUAAAUCCAAGCUUCCUCUUGGUUCCUCAGUUGAUCCCAAGCUCAGCUUGCGAGGGUGUAUUGAGAGAGCUAAACCAGUCACAAGUUAGUUACAACAAUAAAUAGUUAAUUGUGGUAUUUGUGUAAUUAGGUGUAGAAGAUAAGGGUACUGAUGUAAUGAGCCUCUCUGGCUAUAUAUAUUCUUGUGUACUGUCUAGGGAUGGGUUCGGUUUAAAUCGGUUCGAUUUUUUACCAAAACCGAAACCAAACCGAAAUUCGAUUCGGUUCGGUUCAUUUUUUUUUCGGUUUGUUUUUUCCGGAUCGAUUUCGGUUUUUUUUUUUUUUGUUUUUUUUUCAAAAAAUGAAAAACAUUGAAAUUUUAAAUUUUAACAUAUCCAACACAAUCAUAACAUAAGCAUUCUAACUAGAAUCAAAGACAAUGAAAAUAAACAUUUAAAGUUGAACUAAAAUCAUCAAUCAAGUCUUCCAAAGUCCAAACUAACAACCUCACAACACAAAAAUCGUACAAAUGACUUAGAAAAAUUAAAUUGUAUGAUGUUGUUCAAAGAUCAAGGUUGUUUGCUUGUAACUGCAUGUUGACAACUUGAUUAGUAAACGUAAUGCGUGGGUGAAUUUAUUUAGUGUGUGUUGGAUUAUUUUCCAUAACAAAUUACCCAAGUAAUCUACCCGAAAUAAAUGUUUAUGGAUUCUGUUACAUGUUAUGUUAUAUGAGAGUAGAUUUGGAAAAGAAAGCUAGGACAGAAGUAGACAGUGAUAUGGAGAUGGAUGUAGGUACUUUAGGAGGAGGUUUGGUUCCAGAACCUUAUAUGGGGAUAAAUAAUAGGUUAGGGUUUAGAGUUUUUAUAGGCAUUUUUUAAAUAUUUCGAGCUUAAAGUUUGACAACACAUUGGGUUUAGCAUAUUUUAACUUACAAAUUGGGUUUAGAAAAUAAUACCCAAAACAAAUAAUUAAAUAAAUUUUUAAUUUAAUUAAUUUGGUUCGAUUCGGUUUGGUUCGAUUUUUAGAUCAUUAAAAUCGAACCGAACCAAAAGAAUUCGGUUCAAUUUGGUUUUUUCAAUUCGAUUCGGUUUUUUCGAUUUGAUUUUCGGUUUUUUUCGAUUUUUAGUUUUUUGAACCCACCAUAGUACUGUCAAUUAAGUUUAAUUAAUGAAAAUAUCCCUUUUUAACAUUUUCUACACGAAGAUCAUAACUAGUCAUACAAAAAUGUGCACAAACAAAACUCACAGAAUCAACUCUCGGAAUCUUAUAGCGAGUGAACCAUCGAAGCACUUGCUCCCGGAAAGUCUUUCCGACAUCGAUCAAUAUGUAGCUGUGGUUACCAUCGCUUCCGCAACGAUCAAUCAAAAGCGACGUAUUGCACCUGCAAACACAAAUCGUUCAAAAGCUGAUUUUUUUUUUCCCACUUUCCUUCACUUUCUCGGGAUACAAACAACCACAAAAAGGCAGAUCUAAAUCUCAAAUUUACCGGUAAUUAGGGUUUUGGUCCGGGGGGAUGGAGAGCGCCUGAGCGCAGACGUGGCAGGGAUCGGAGGCCUGGAUCAGGCACAUUGCGUUGGGAACGGAGCCGGAGCACCCGGUUCCGAGAAAGAUCAGCGCCGAUCGACCGCCGUCUUGGUUCCCGGCCGCCAUUGGGGUCUCCUACACGGAAGACAAGGGUUUCGGUCUUUGGGGGCGAGGGAGGGAGAGAGAGGAAGAGCGAGAGAACUGGCGAAGAGGGAAUGAAGAAAUGAAUCCGGGAAUAUUUGGGGCGACAAGGCCCGGGAAAUGUUAACGGUUACGUAGAGUGGGUAUUUGUCUACGUGGCCGAGAUCUAUUGGUUCCUGUUGUUUCCAAGGGUGGUGGGUUGGAGAAAUAUGAAUGGCAAAAUGCGAGUUCGAUACCACGUUAUAAUGUCGGCGCAUUAAAAAAUUAACCUUUUCUUUUCUGUUACUGUUGAAGAGCACCAUGAGAUUUUAAUCUAGAUACUGCCAUAAAAAAAAUGAUAAAUUAAUGUGAUAAAGAGAAAUUUUUUAUAUUAAAUUUCAACAAACUAAGAAAGUCACAACUAAAAUCGAUUUUUAUAUUGUAAUUAAAAUUAUUUUGAGUAAACUGUCAUUUAACCCCCUAAACUAUCACGUCAGUGUCAAUUUCCCCCCUGAACUAUUUUUUCAGCCAAUUGACCCCCUAAACUAUGUUAAAGUGGCCAAUUGACCCCCUACCGUUAAGUAUCUUUAACUUCAUCCAAUUUUCUGUUAGAAAGU
This 7746-nucleotide long non-coding RNA is filed under the name Malus domestica (apple). RNAcentral's name for it is "long non-coding RNA (MDOM_LNC009640)". Lineage: Eukaryota; Viridiplantae; Streptophyta; Magnoliopsida; Rosales; Rosaceae. The record is from RNAcentral.